UCUUUUGCUGGUGUAGCUCGUCCGGUUACCUUCAGGAAGAUUGGAUAACCAAGAAAUGACUAAUCAGGAGUCUGCCGUACAUGUGAAAAUGAUGCCAGAAUUCCAGAAAAGUUCAGUUCGAAUCAAGAACCCUACAAGAGUAGAAGAAAUUAUCUGUGGUCUUAUCAAAGGAGGAGCUGCCAAACUUCAGAUAAUAACGGACUUUGAUAUGACACUCAGUAGAUUUUCAUAUAAAGGGAAAAGAUGCCCAACAUGUCAUAGUAAGUGUGAUAUUUGUAAACAAAUUCACAAAAGCAUGUCAUCAUUAUUUUAAGAUCCUCUUUAUAUUACCUGUGAGAUAACUGGGUUUUUAAAAUUCUUCUUGGACAUUGACAGUGAGGAGACCUGCUUUUUCUUACUAUAUUUUUGAGGUUUUUUUCCCAUAUUAUAUAAAUGGUUAUUUUCAUGUAUGGUUUUGGUAGCAAAGGGAAUCAGAGACUCCUGAAAUAUUUCUUGCCAAAUAUGGUCUAUUCAUUAUUCAAGAAAUAUUUAAAUAGGUUGUAAACUUUGGGUUAACCUGAAGAAACACCAUUUAUCAAA
This 579-nucleotide small RNA is filed under the name Pan troglodytes (chimpanzee). RNAcentral describes it as "retained intron". Lineage: Eukaryota; Metazoa; Chordata; Mammalia; Primates; Hominidae. The record is from RNAcentral.